CCUACGGGCGGCAGCAGUGAGGAAUAUUGGUCAAUGGGCGAGAGCCUGAACCAGCCAAGUCGCGUGAAGGAUGACGGCCCUACGGGUUGUAAACUUCUUUUGUCAGGGAGCAAUUGGGUCCACGCGUGGGCUUAGCGAGAGUACCUGAAGAAAAAGCAUCGGCUAACUCCGUGCCAGCAGCCGCGGUAAUACGGAGGAUGCGAGCGUUAUCCGGAUUUAUUGGGUUUAAAGGGUGCGUAGGCGGAAUAUCAAGUCAGCGGUAAAAAUUCGGGGCUCAACCCGGUCGUGCCGUUGAAACUGAUGUUCUGGAGUGGGCGAGAAGUAUGCGGAAUGCGUGGUGUAGCGGUGAAAUGCAUAGAUAUCACGCAGAACUCCGAUUGCGAAGGCAGCAUACCGGCGCCCAACUGACGCUGAAGCACGAAAGCGUGGGUAUCGAACAGGAUUAGAUACCCCGGUAGUC
Molecule: ribosomal RNA, 460 nt
Filed under: uncultured bacterium
Lineage: Bacteria
Description: partial 16S ribosomal RNA
Rfam family: Bacterial small subunit ribosomal RNA
Source: RNAcentral